Molecule: ribosomal RNA, 719 nt
Filed under: Salmonella enterica
Lineage: Bacteria; Pseudomonadati; Pseudomonadota; Gammaproteobacteria; Enterobacterales; Enterobacteriaceae
Description: partial 23S ribosomal RNA
Rfam family: Bacterial large subunit ribosomal RNA
Source: RNAcentral
CUCCUGACUGACCGAUAGUGAACCAGUACCGUGAGGGAAAGGCGAAAAGAACCCCGGCGAGGGGAGUGAAAAAGAACCUGAAACCGUGUACGUACAAGCAGUGGGAGCACAGGUUUACCUGUGUGACUGCGUACCUUUUGUAUAAUGGGUCAGCGACUUAUAUUCUGUAGCAAGGUUAACCGAAUAGGGGAGCCGGAGGGAAACCGAGUCUUAAUUGGGCGUUAAGUUGCAGGGUAUAGACCCGAAACCCGGUGAUCUAGCCAUGGGCAGGUUGAAGGUUGGGUAACACUAACUGGAGGACCGAACCGACUAAUGUUGAAAAAUUAGCGGAUGACCUGUGGCUGGGGGUGAAAGGCCAAUCAAACCGGGAGAUAGCUGGUUCUCCCCGAAAGCUAUUUAGGUAGCGCCUCGUGAAUUCAUCUCCGGGGGUAGAGCACUGUUUCGGCUAGGGGGCCAUCCCGGCUUACCAACCCGAUGCAAACUGCGAAUACCGGAGAAUGUUAUCACGGGAGACACACGGCGGGUGCUAACGUCCGUCGUGAAGAGGGAAACAACCCAGACCGCCAGCUAAGGUCCCAAAGUCAUGGUUAAGUGGGAAACGAUGUGGGAAGGCCCAGACAGCCAGGAUGUUGGCUUAGAAGCAGCCAUCAUUUAAAGAAAGCGUAAUAGCUCACUGGUCGAGUCGGCCUGCGCGGAAGAUGUAACGGGGCUAAACCAUG